CCUACGGGUGGCAGCAGUGAGGAAUAUUGGUCAAUGGGCGAGAGCCUGAACCAGCCAAGUCGCGUGAAGGAUGACUGUCUUAUGGAUUGUAAACUUCUUUUGUAGGGGAAUAAAGAGGGGCACGUGUGCCUCAGUGAAUGUACCCUACGAAUAAGCAUCGGCUAACUCCGUGCCAGCAGCCGCGGUAAUACGGAGGAUGCGAGCGUUAUCCGGAUUUAUUGGGUUUAAAGGGUGCGUAGGCGGCCUGUUAAGUCAGCGGUGAAAUCUAGGAGCUUAACUCCUAAAUUGCCAUUGAUACUGGCGGGCUUGAGUGUAGAUGAGGUAGGCGGAAUGCGUGGUGUAGCGGUGGAAUGCAUAGAUAUCACGCAGAACUCCGAUUGCGAAGGCAGCUUACUAAGGUACAACUGACGCUGAAGCACGAAAGCGUGGGUAUCAAACAGGAUUAGAUACCCCUGUAGUC
Molecule: ribosomal RNA, 460 nt
Filed under: uncultured Porphyromonas sp.
Lineage: Bacteria; Pseudomonadati; Bacteroidota; Bacteroidia; Bacteroidales; Porphyromonadaceae
Description: bacterial SSU rRNA
Rfam family: Bacterial small subunit ribosomal RNA
Source: RNAcentral